RNAcentral lists this long non-coding RNA (27564 nucleotides) under Capsicum annuum. Its description in RNAcentral is "long non-coding RNA (CANN_LNC006743)". The record is from RNAcentral. Lineage: Eukaryota; Viridiplantae; Streptophyta; Magnoliopsida; Solanales; Solanaceae.
ACGUGGUGGGGGUUUAUUCCUGUUAGGAGUCCGUGUCCCAUGUUUUAUUAUGAAUCUGUGUGUUUUCCUUUGUUUUAGAUUACUUAUGGGUGCCGUAUUUAUGUUAUGUAAUCUUGUAACCUUGUGCUGUGCUUUACUAUGUGUUUGUGUGGUACCGCGUGUCUUGAGCCGGGGGUCUAUCGGAAACAGCCUUUCUACUUCUUCAGAGGUAGAGGUAUGGACUGCGUACAUCCUACCCCCCAGACCCCACCAGGUGGGAAUACACUGGGUUUGUUGUUGUUGUUGUUGUAGUUGACAGUAUGGAACAAAGUAUACUUAUUUGAUAAAUUACAUAUUAUUUUUAUGCCUUUAGGUUGGGCUCGGGCUUAGCACAAGCCACCAAGAACUAGUAUAACUAUAACUAUGACUUUUUCUUUUUCGCAAAAGGCACAUCACAAUAUUUAAUAACAGAAAAUCACAAAAUUUUUACCUUAUUAACACAAAACUCUACAGUUUCCUAAAAAACAACCUUCCAGCAAGUGUUAAUAUUUUACUCUACAUUUUAAUCGUUAUUUAUUUUUUAAUCAAAUAAAGGCAAAUUCUGUUUAAAAUUGGACCAAACUAUUCCAAUUUUGAAAAUGUGUAGUUAAUAUAUAUUAAAAAGAUUUAUAUUUUAUUGGAUGAUUAUAAGAAACUGAAUUUUAUUAGGUAAUUGUUAUUAUUACUAGUUAUCAGUGCAUCAAAAUUAUCUUGUGAUAAUCAAUUUUGCGUUUUAGUGUAUUUUGUAUGAUGUCCGAAUAAAAAUAUGAAAGAAAAGGUAAAAAUAAGGAUAUAGAUUAUUAGAUUCAGAUAGUUCUUGAGACAAUAAUAACCAAUAAGUUGAAAUGGAAGAAAUAGAUUAAUGAUUACUCUACCAAUUACACAGUUUAGCCAAAAGCAUUAUACGAUUGCUAAGAAAUUAGUCAAUGUUUCAUACUUCUUUGUAGUGUCAUCACUUAAAAUCAUACUAGAUGGUGAAGUUUGCGCUAGCGCAGGCCCAAUAAUAAUGACGUAGCUAUUGUUUGAUCGCACCUAGAUAGAACAAUUUUGAAUUAGGAAUGCCAAAUAUACCCUUUUUUGCAAAAGAAGAUGGUAUGAUUGUGACCAUCUUUAAGUUUCAUAUAGUCAAACAAUAAUGACACAGAAUAUUAGAAUAGCAAAGUGUCAAGAGCAGAAGCAUAUAUUUGGCCAAAUAAAAAGUGUCUAAGAGCAAAAGCAGAUAACUUGGCCAAAUAAAAAGAUGGGUAGAGCAUUUAAAGCAUUGAGUCAUUCUGAAUACCCAGGAUAAGCAUCUUUCAAACCCCAAACUGGGGAUUGGAAAGCAAUAGGGCAUUAAUCCAUUUUCUUUUUCCUGUAUAUCUUUCCUUUUAAAUGGAGGGCCGUUUGCACGGAAGCGGAGCCAGCCCCGAACCCCCUUCAAUGGAAAAAUAUACUAUUUAUACAUGAUUAGAAUUAUUUUUUAUGUGGUUAUACUAGGCGUUGACACCCUUUGACUUAGUUUUCUUUGAAUAUUGAAUCCCCUUACUUGAAAUACUGGCUCCUUCUCUGCGUUUGCAAAUGUGGAACAUGACACCACGUAUAUAGAGUGAGAAAAUGGGUAAAUUAUGGUGUCUUGCAUUGCUUAGUAGUUUUCUUUAUAUCUUUAUACAUAUUUGUUCGAGGCAGAAUUAGUACCUAUCAAUGACAGUCAGUUGGAUUCGCUAGAAACACACCUUGAUAUAGCCAGCAAUUACAUUCCAUCAUUGUCAUUUCUGGUGAAAAGAUUAUCAAAAUUUUUAUCAGUCUUUAAAAUUUCACACGAUAGAGGACAAUACAUACAAAUAAAAAAGAAGAUUUAGACAAAAAUUGGAGUAGCUAUUAACCUGAAAAUUAAAAAUAAAGAGAAGAUUGAAAAAAAAAAGGACGUUGGUAGAGAACAAUUGAAUCGAGAAACUUAGCAAGAGUUGAAGAAACUAUUAGAGUACAAAAAUUUAGAAAUUACAAAAGCAGCCAUCAUGUAGUGAAUAGAAUUAAGCACAGAAAUGAAAGUACGUUAGAGCGAUCACUAUAAUGAUUGUGAAUUAAUUAACUUACCAUAGGUUGGUUUAAUUGACACACUUGAAUAUAGAAAAUUAUAUGAUGUUACAAAAAGGCUUUUUGAAUGAUUUCAUCAUAGACUAUAUUAUAUGUAGACUGGUCAUCAUUGCUAUCAGCAGUACGUGGUCGUAUUAAUAAUCUUAUACAGUCAGAAUUCUUUUCUCUUGAUAAAUCCACAUAUAAUUGACAAUGAGAGAAUACAGGCUUAUGCAAAUAAAUUCCAACAUAAUCUAAUGUUUAUCCUUGAGCUUUAUUUAUUGUCAUAGCAAAACAUAGGCAAAUUGGAAAUUAUGUUUUUUUUUUAAAUGGAAUUGGUAACUUUUCAUCAUCUGAAGAUAAUAAUGGUAUUCUGAAAAUAAAUACAUGUUUAUUUUUAAAAUCGCCACUGAAAAUUUUAACGCUUAUAACACAAUUCCUAAAAUCACAACAUAUUAGUCAUUUACCAUUGCACAAACCUUCACAAGGAUUUAAUCUUUUGAGUAAAAUAAUUGGGCAAUUUUCUUUUAAUGUUAGUUUGUAGAGAGGUUGACCAGGAGGAUUUAACGAAUGUGAGAAAUCUUCAAAUUGACUUUGAUCACUUGGUUCAAUAGUUUCAUUAAGCGAAACAAAUGUGCAAGCAUCUUUAGAAAAUUGAUUUAUAAGUCUAUCAUUUAGUUUAUCAACAAAGUUAUUUUUUAUUGUUAAAAUAACAUGAGAAGUCCAAAAAGUAGAAUCAAAGAGCUACUAAAAUCGGGGUAUAGUAUUUUGAAUAAAAGAUCUAGUGAUACUUUUUCAGUAGUAUAAGGAACAAUGAAACAUCUUGGGAUAUUUAUUUUGUCAUUCAUAUUUAUUUUUUAUUUUCCAUUUCCUAUUCACAUUAGAUACUCACAAAAAGAGUGAUCAGUUUUUGCAUGCAUAUUUUUCAAUAGAUGUAGUUUUUCAAGAUGAUUCCAUAUUUCUGGAUUUAAUAAGUUUUCUCGAACGAUGUCUUUUUUUUUUUCACUCCAAACGACAGGUAAAGUUUGUCUAAAAUCUCCUCCAAACACAAUCACUUUUUCACCAAAUAAUGUAUUUUAAUCCAUCAUAUCUUUCAAAGGAGAAUCAAAUGCUUCAAUCAUGGUUUUUCACCAUUGAUAUUUCAUCCCACAAAAUUAGUUUAGCAUCAUGAAUUAGAGAUGCUAAUGAAAAAUUUAAAGCUAGAAUGAGCCAUUCAUCCUCCUGGAAUGAGAGAAACAGCAAUACUACCAGGACCAUCUAUAAAGAAUGCCCCUGAUUUAUUGCUAAAUAUUCUCUGAACGAUUGUAUCAUAUGAGUUUUUUCUUAUCUAUUUAAUUUUUAUAUAAUAAUAAUUUUUUAUGUAUUAAUAAUUCUUUAUCCCUCACUAUAAUAUUUCUUUCCAAGAUUAUGUCUUUUUCUUCAAUUGCAAUUUUUGAAGAGUUAAUAGUUUAUGGAACAAGGUUGAGCUCAUUGAUAUCACGUCCCAUAUAAUGUAAUAUAUCAUUGAUAUGGUUUAAAACUACUCGAUGAAUAUAUUUUGUUGUAAUGUUUCCCACAUUCUUAAAAUCUUCAGACAUUGAAUAUUUAAAUUAUUUCCAUAAUUCCUUUGGAUUAUCACGAUUACAAUAUACUAAUAUAGUACCAAAUAGAUGUCUUAAACUAUAAGGUAUUUGAUUACAUAUAGCUUCUAACAUACAUUCAACUAAGUUGUUAUCUCGAUGUAAUAGUCCUUUUUUUUUCAGCAGAUUCUGUAAAAAUUUUGCAACAUAUUUUAUUUACUUGAAAAAGAGAGUUAUACGAUUUUGAUGCUUUUACAUUCAUUAGUAAUAAUAAAAAAUAAUAUCUUUCUCCUUCUGUUGGAUGACAAGUUACAACACAACCGAUAACAUUAUCACGUCUUCGUCGAGUCCACAUUUUAUAGCUAGGCAACCACACAAAGUGUUGGGGGAAAUCUUUAUACAAUAAUUAAGAUCUUUAUCAUGUUUAUUUUCUUGGUUCAUUAAGAAAAAUUUGGUUAACAUAGUCUUCUUAAGCAUUGGAUUUUUUAAGAUGCUAUCUAUUCUAUUAUUUUUUUUAAAAGAUACAAAUUGUUGUCCUUGAAGAUGCAGCUAAAGGUGAUAAACAAUUGGAGUUAUUUCACUAAUAGAAAAUGCAAAUAAAUGUCACAUAACGUUCGGUGGGGACACCUAUCUAGCUGAUUGACAUUCUUUUAUCUCAUUUAUUUCUAUAUUUGUAUUCUCUUUGUGUAAGUGAAAUAAAUUUUUAUCAUGUCCCUUGCAAAUAUAUUUAUAUAAAUAUUUGACAACAUUAAUAUCAGAACAAACUUCAAUAUUUAUAUGACAAUUAUAUUUGCAUAAUAGAUAAGAAUUGUAAGAGACAACCCAUGAGUUAUCUAGCAAAUUUUCUCUAAUUUCACAAACUUACCAGUAUUUCUUCUUUUGUAAAUUGGAUAGGAGUUUUUUCCUUUGGUUGUGUUGUCAGCAAAGCUUUUAGGAUACUUAAAUUUACACACUCCUUUUUUCUUCAUACUAGAAUUUAUAGGAUUUAAUUGACCACAAGGUCCAUGCAUCAUAUAUUUAAUGACAAGUUUACAUAAGUAAGAAUUGACUUUAGAAUCAGGUAUCUCUAUGAAAAUAAAUUUGUCAUAAGCCUCAGGUGUCAAUAAUUUAUGGUCAUCGUUGAGUAUAAUAAGAAAAUGAGCAUGAGGUAAAUCACGCUUUUGAAAUUUUAUAGUGUACAUAUAAGCUACAACUUUUUCAAAAUGUUCCUUUUUGCAAUGUCUGUCUUCAUUUCUUCAACUUUAGCUCUGAAUAUACGACUAAUUAAAUCAGGUCGAUUUUGAGCAUCAUUAGUUGAGAGAAUAUGUUGUUUUAUUUUAGGACAAGAGGUAUUAUAUGUCAUAGGUAGAAAUAUAUACAGCCUUCCAAAAUGUUGCACUAAUGUAAUAGUGUCUAUAUAAUGGAGACACAUAUCUCUUGAACAACCUGUGAAACUUAAUGGAAGAAAACUUUUUUAAAAUAACUUAGAAGACUCUCUUUCACCAAAUUUUAGGAUAUCAAGAAUUCCUUAUAGUAUAUCAACUCGAAAUAAAUCUUUAUUCAAUGAAGCAAAAUCUAACCUCUGAGUUUCUACCUUUAUGAAUUCAUCAACUGAAUAUUAUUGAAAUAGUCAUCUAGAAUGUAAAACAAUAUUUAUCAUCAUAUCUUAUUUGAAGUUUAUAACAAUAGUAUUCUCGACACAAAAUAACAUUUCUUUUGUAAAAUUUCAGCUCCAUAUAAAGCAGUCCAUCAAUUAAACACGUUAGAUAAACUUGAAAGUUGAUAGUUUUUGUAGCAAGCUCUCUUUAUCUUUUUUAAUUUAUGCGUUGGUUGUACAAAUUUUUGAAUACCACAAUGCCAUCCGUUUUUCCAUAAGAAAACAAAAGUGGAUAUUGUAAAGGAUCGUAGCAACCAUAGUAGUAAUUUACUAAUUGGCUCUUGUUACUAUGAGUAUAAAUUCAGAUAUAUGAUGUAAGAUUAUUAUUACUUGUUUCUUGUUCUAGCAUAAUGCUACUACUUUUGAUACACUCGGUAGGUUCUAUACUCAUUGAUCUAACUUGGUGUCACAAUUUAAUGCAAUAUAGAAACUUGACAGUUGUAGAACAUGUAGUACACAUUUUAAGAAAACACAAUAAGGAUUGAUCUUUAGUAUAUCUAUUAAUUUCUCAUCGAUAGAUUCUUUGAGUACAUUUGAUGAAGCCACUUAGUUUAUUAUUUCCCUAUUAGCAUUAUAAAAAUAUAGGUGCAAAUUGUUUAAUUGUUGAAUUGAUGGAAUGAAAUCAUUAAUAAAGUGAUACAUUUGUCUUUGUACUCUAAACGUGUAAAUAUUAUGGUCUCUUUUUGCUAGAGUUUUGUCAUAUUUCACUCCAAGUGAAGUAAAUAUGAACAUGUUAUUUUACAUUCUAAGGUAGGUACGAAAGUGAUCAGAUUUUUCAAUAUUUUCUAAAUAGAGAUUCAGCAAUUCAGCAGGUAUUUUAUGUGAUGUCAACUUAACUAUACCAUUGCUACAACAAAAUGAGGGUGAAUCAUACUCAAAUUCUUUUACACCAUAGUAUUUACAGUUUGAAACUUUUCUAAAAAUAUUUAAACUAUUGGGCAACUGCUUAAAGUUCCAUUUGUUUUUGUAGAUUUAGAACCUGUAUAUAUUAACUGCAGUAAUAUAUAACAUUAGUGGUAGGAAGUAAUCAAUAGUAAAUAUUGGUAGAAAGCUGGAGGGAAGAUGAACCUGUAUUUGGGGUAGCCAAUGUCUCCAUGUUGGGUUGUUCACAAGGUGGAGCAAAUAUUGAGCCUAAUAUACAAAUCAGUUUAUUUAUAUAUAAUGAAAAAGAGAGAGAGGGAAAAAUCAAGUUAUAAUAUUGUAUUAUUGACAUUUAUCAAGUUCAAUAACGGAGCAAUGGCUGAUAACAACUUUUUUCUUGACAAAUUUAGGCAUUGAUUUAUCAUUACAAGAUAUAUUAGUUACUGGAGAAAUGAAAAUAUUUUUACAAUUAGAAAAUAAAAGGCAAAUUGUUUAAGGAAAACACCUAUACAUAUUAGUUGUAGUGACAUAGUAUUAAUGGUAGGUAGUGAUUAGCAACAAAAGUUGGCAGAAAUUGAAGGACAAUGGAUCUUUGUCUAUAACAGGUAAUGUUUGUGAAUCGUGUUGAUGAGGUGUAGCAGAUGUUGAACCUAAUAUACAAAGCAUUUUUGUUAAUAUAUAUUAAAAAAGAAAGUGGAUAUUAUAAGAGGUUAUUAUUGACACUUAUAAACUUCAAACAUAGUAAAGUACUCAACAAUAGUUUUUCCUUUGCCAAACACAAGCUUCAUAACAUGAGCGGAAUUACAAAAUGUUGAGAAAUAGAAAAUUAUGUGUAACUAUAAUCGAAGAAAAAGGCAAACGUUUUUAUAUCGAUGACCAAAAAAGUACAUAAUAUUUUUUCCUGUUUCUAGCCUGUCAUAGAAACAAAAGAUGGCUCAUGUAUUGUUACUGUUGUUUGUCUGUGUAAGUCAACUCCAGCUUAGGAGCAUAAUGCCUCUGUAAACUGGUUUCUUGAUUCGAGCAUUUUUUAUCAUCCACGCGAUAAAACUGACUUUUUUUAUCCAAUGAAAGUUUUUUAUAUAACUCACAUCUUCUAUGGUUGAUGCUAGAAGUAGUUUCCACUGAGUACUGACGUUUCCACUGUUGUGAGCAAAAAAAUGGUGGGCCUUUUUUUAUCUGUUGACAUCUAUGAACAGAACAUCAGGUAAUGAAUAUGAUAAUCAUAGUCAUCGUAUUAAUGGUACAUAAAAUAUGAUGCUUGGUACACUAAGUAGAGAAGAAGACGCACACAGGAAUAUAUUCAUAUUUGUGCUAAAAUCGUCUCCUAUAAAAUAACAAGUAAUGAUGCAAGUGUUGUAGUUAUUAAUACAGUAUAAUUAGAGCUUAUCGUGAUCAGGCAAAGAUGAAUGGUACUAUAAGCAUUUUCUCUAUAAAACCACUUCAUUGCAAUAUCUUUACUAUCCCCACCAGGUAAAACUCUUCUUUAAGCAAUCCGAUAUCCCCUUGGCCCAAAUUUAUUCUUUUCAUCAAAAUUGUCAGUACAUUUCUUCAGGACCUUAAACUCAAAUUCCUGUGGGAGUUCUAGGAAAAUUAUUGAGUACAAUCAAUAUGUUUGAUUGUAACUUAUCAAACCUUUUGUUGUAGUAAAGAUACCCCAAAUAUGCUGUGGAAAAAGCCAUAGCACCAGUAAUGGAACCCCAACCCGGAACACAGCCUUUAACUAAAGAUUUUUUUAUCAAGAAAAUACUCUAAUUGUGAAGUUCCAUUACUCCUAUUUGAUGCCAAAACCCAAAAUAUGAUUCUUCCUUUACAUAAUCUAUUAAAAUAAGAUUAUAUAUUAAGAUGGGGUUGUUAGGCCUAUGAUUACCAUCAUGGUCAAACUUUGUCAAUGACAUAAAAUUUUCCCACCAAGUAUUACAUAGAAAUUUUAAAGAAAGUCAUUGACUUUAUCAAAACCAAAAAGUUUUGUCACCAAAUAUUCAAAUUAUAACACACAAAAAUUGAAGAAACUGAUAAAAAUUUCAAAAUCAAACACAAAAAUGACUAAAAGAUCAAUUAGUAAUAUGCCUUCAAUUAUCAAAAUUUAAUAAAAAAGGAUAUGGUUUCAUACUUAAUAAGACACAAUUAUUGGUCAUUUACUCAAGUAGUUUAAGUAGUUUUACUCGCGAGUAAAGAAUUCCCUGUGUAGUAGCUCUAAUUGAAAUAUUAUCACUGCUAUAGAUCUAACAUUAUUGUAGUAGCAGAAAAAGAAACAAAAAAGAAGAAUUUCCCCUCUUAAAGCAGCUACCUUCACCUAGAAAGAAUUUAGAUCAAGAGAAAACAAAGAUCAUAAGCUUUUCAAAAAGAAUAUUCCCCACUUCAAACAGAAUCACUAGAAAUGAAACUAACAGGAACCACAAACUAAAUGUUACCCAAAUACCUCCCAAAUACACACCCCCCCCAAAAACAAAAAAAAAAUGCAAAAAUCCUUUAUUUACAAGUUAAACAAGAAAAACCACUGAUUUUAAGACAACAAAAAAGGAAAAGAAAGACGCGAUCAACAUAUCUACAGUAUCCUAUGAAAUAAAGUACAGAUCACCCGUUAAACCACAAAGUUCAUAAAAAACAAAAACAACAAAAUUUCAAGAACAUGCAAAGGCAAUACAAACAAAAGUCAAGAUUCCAAGAGCUAAAAAUCAGCAUUUAGUAGUUGAAAAAAUAUUAUACCUGUGAACCUCAAGUUUGGGAAAUUGACGUUGUAAGAGUAAAUCCAAGCAGAAAUUGAAGAAAAAAAGAUGAAGAAGAAACAAUACAAGGAAGAAAGAAGAAGAAUAAGAAGAAGAACAAGCAGUAGCAGAAUAAGAGGGUGAUGGUGGAGUAGUGAAGCUUUUUUUGGGUGUAAAGAAUGAACAAUCCUGUUAGAAACGUUUUUGAGAAGAGGCGGUGUAAACAAUGGACAAAAGAAUACAAGUAGCAGUGUAAACAAUCGAGAAAAAAAUUCAUAAAAAGAUCAAUUUUCCCUUGGAAGCAGGCAUGACAACCCUGACAUGUUCCAAGGCUCUUCUAUAUAUUCAGAAAACAGUCAUAGUAACAAAUCAUUUUAUAUUGGUAAAACACAUCAUAAUCCUCCUAAAUUUUGCACAAACUUUCUCUUUGAUACUUCAACUACGCCAUGUUCAUUUUAAAUAUCUUAUGUAAGGUUUCAUUUUGUCAUUUUGAUAUCCUUUUUACAUUUUCACAAUCAACCUUAGCAUGUGUGGCAAAUGCCAUUUACGUGGAAAAAUUAACGAAUCCAUAUUUGACAUGUGGAAUUUUUUAAAAAAAUAAUCACUCUACUUUUUUUUUCUCAGAAUAUACAACUUCACGCACACUUAACACCACCCCCAUCAAUUCUUAUUCCCUUUUCACUGAUUCUUCAUUUUUAACAAAUUACAAAGUAAAUUUAACAAAUUUAUUCUUACCAACUUAAAUUAGUUUUAACCAACUUUUAACUUAUUAGAGAAGACUUGGAUGAGUUUAAUUUUAUCCAAUUUUGUUGAAAAAAUAGAGAAAAAUAUGAGAUUAACAGAUGAGAAAAAUAAGACAAUCAAAUAUUGGUAUUAUUGAAAAUAUAGAUGAAGAAGAAAAGAGAAAAAAUUGAUCUUUCAUGAAUUUGGAAAUUUAGGGUUAAAUUAUAGAAUUGAAAAUGAGGAAGAAGAUAAAUAAGUAAGGGUAUAGUCAAUAUUAUCGUUGGAGGGCCAACUAGGAUGCCCUAUAACAAAAACUUCAACGCAUCUUUAAUUGGUGAAAUACAUGUAAUGAGUCAACUGCGCUGAAGGUGCCAUAAUGAAACACUUGAACAUUGGUUUAGGUUUUUAAAAUAGACGUCUAGUUGAGAUUGAUAAUGCUCAACUUACACGUCAAUUAAAGUGCAAGGCGGUCGUCGUCAAUAUACUUACCCAGCUUUGAAGUUGCAGCCGAAUCCACGAGGAACAACGUGAGUUGCAAUCAAGUUAAUUCAAAAUAAUAGAUAUAAGUAAAAUUCAAACCAAUAGUACAAAAAUAUAAGAAUGAGGGAGAUAGGAGGCUACACUAAUAUUUCUUUUUGUUUUUUUCUAGUAUAAAUUUGGGGCUAUGAAUAAUUAGAGUUUUAACAACUAGGAAUAGAUCUUGGGAUUAUGCAUUACUACGGGAAUGACAUGUGAGUGUUACUAAUCAACAUCAAUUUAGUAAAUCUAAUAUGGGUAGGUUCAGUUAUAGAUUUUGAUGCUAGUAUUUCAACAAAACACCAAACUUUCACCCAUUGAUUCUUUCAAAUACCUAACGGGUGUGUUUAUCAUUUGAUAACCAAACCUCAAUUUAGGCAUCCCUAUUUCUAGGAUAAUACCCAUGGUAUAGUUAACCUCAUAAUCACCCUUAUGUCUAAGAUAGCGAAAAUUUAGCAAACUACACACAUAAUUGUCUAUCAUUGCUUUGGUCUCCAUAUCUCUCUUUUAAGGAUGAUUUGGAUUCUUAAAGUUCACCCAUAACUCUUCUUUCAAAGAUGACCUUGAGUUUUCACUCAUCAAACCCAUAUGGGUAUUUAGGGCUUUCACGUACAAAUCCCAAUGAAGUUAGCAUAGCAAUGAUAAAACUCAUAAGUAUGAACUACAAAAUAGAGGCUAAUAAUAACAACCCCCACACACAUUAACCCCUAUUCACACAUAACCCUAAGAGGGAGAUCUAGCUACACAUAAGAUAAAUAAGUGAAUAUAUACCCAUAAUAUCCAUUGAUAAGAUUUCUUGAAGCUUAAGUGAAUGUUACUUUAAACUUUUCAAUCCCACACAUCAACAAUGUAAGUGAGCUAUUCCUCCUCUUUGAAGGUCUCCAAUGUAUUCUUCACCCAAAAUUUAUACAAUAUUUUCUUCUCCAAAAAUGGAGGCUAUGAACUCAAGAGAUAAACCUAAAAAAAUUAGGGAAGAUGGAAUGUGAUUAAGAAUUCUAGGGUUUAAGUCUUAUUGUCAAAAUUGGGAUCAGCCAUGUGCAUUUUCAGAUUUACUCUUGGGCUGCAUUCUUCCGCUAGGCCGUGACCGUGAUUAUCUUCCAUGACCACAGUUUCUUAACUUUUGCUUGACUGCUGCAAUUGUGGUCAUCAGAUUGUGACCUCGAUAACUAAGGCCAGUUCCUGCUCCAAGUGUUCAACUGCAUUUUCUUGCUCCCUUUUGAUCAUUUUUAGCUCCAAUCCACAUCUUUUGAUCUUAUCAACUCUAUACCUACUAAGUGUGUAUAUUACUGAAUUUAAUCAAAAUUUUGUCUCUUUUAUUCAUUCAAAAUAAGGUAAUUUAAAUAAAAGAUAAGUGCAACUGAGUGGUAAAAUCCCCACUCAUCACAGAUGCCAAUGUAAAAAUUUGCGCCAAAUUUAGUAGUCUGGAGAUAAGUUUGGUCUUUUAUAUUUAAUUACAAUUUUUUUUUUGAAUUAAAGUAUUGAAUCAUUCAACUAUAAACUCUAAGUAGUCUUUAAUUAAAAUAUAUUGAAAAGGCAUCCAACAAUAUCCAAACUUUGACAAAAAUUUGUAACACGCCUUAACUUUGUGGGGGUCCUAUGACCCCAUGGACUAUUAAAAGUGUAUUUUAGUGAUCAUUAUUUUCACAGUUGGAUCAUUGACUAAGUCCAUAGAAACUGUAACACCAUGUAUUUCCCUAGCAUAAUCUAAGUCCCAAUGCAUGAGUAUUCGUAUAUGAAAUUUUGAAACACUCAUUAUUUUUAAGUUUAGAGCCUUUCAUUGCGUAGGAAAUUCAAUUAGCUUUCCAAUGAUAUAAAAAUUUGCCCAAAUCUGAUAACCGAAUAAGAAGUUAUAGCGAUUUUAAGUUUUAGUCGCAGAACCCCAUUAUUUUAACCUCUAGCGCAUCGUGGAGAAGGCCAAUCUUCUAUUUAGCAAAAUACAGUAAAGGUCUAUGAUAUUGGUGCAUCGCGCCAUAGGUUAGUUUGACAUUUGUCGAUUUUCAGUAUGACUUGCGACAAUGGCGCGUUGCAGAGCAGGCCAAAUUCCUAUUUGUUAAUUUUUAGUGGGCCUCCGUGAUUAUGGUACAUCACGGAGAUGGACAAAAUGGAAUCCACAGGCUUACCGCGAUGGUGGCACAUAGCAACAUUUAUCUAGGUCCCAUUUGUCCCUUUUCCAAUGGCUUGGCGCAAUAGCGGCGCGUACGCCAAGGCAAAUAAUCGAGAUUCUAGUUUCCAACUUGUGUUUUUAAAUUCGUUUAAGGGUAUUUGGGUCUUUUUUCUAAGUCCUAAACUCACCCUAAACACAAAUUUUAACCCAUAAUUGACCUAAAUACUCAUCAUUAUUCACUUUCUCUCAAAUUAAAAAUCCCCUCUUUCAAGAAAAAGAAACCCUAGCUCUCAAGAAUCAAGGACAAAUCUCAAGAACUAUCCAUCAAUCCUUCCAAAUUCAUCAUACCAGGUAUGUUAGAUGUUCAUCCAUGAAUUCCUUUCAUCCAUAGAGUCCAAGUAUCCAUUUUAAUUACAAAUCUAUCAUCUUUUCAAGAUCUAUGAUAUUAAAUUGUGAACUAUGAAUCUCCAUGAACUUCCUUGAAUAUUGAUUUUUAUACCAUACUUUAAUGGAAUUAUCAUUGUUAUCAAAUCCCCCAUGAUUUAAUAUUGUCAUUCUUCAAAUUAGAUCAUAAUUUAGUGUUAUAAAUGUUGAAAUCAUGCUAUUAUUUCAAGUUUUAUACUAUUCCCAUGAAUUGACUAAACUAUGAAGUACAAGUGUUUGAUAAAAUGCCUAUCAGAGUGAUUUAUUUAAUAAGAGCCUUCAUGUUUUGGCCUUCAAGCUUUAGUGUUUUUCCAGUAUUGUUGUUUUGAGUCCUGGGGGUAUUGAAUACCUGAAAACCAUAACUAUUUAUUUAGUCUAGUCUCAGUAUAUUGCAGAAUAGUCUUUAGAUUAUAUUAUGAGCAUUAUCAGAAUAGUCAGAUAUCAGUUAUUCAACUCAAAAUAGUCUAGUAUUUCAGUGUUUUUCAAUUAGGAGUAGGAUUUAACACCGAACGAGUGUAGGGAUGGUGGCUUCCAUGUCAAUUAGGCAGAGUUAUUAUUUACAGUCCUUAUACUCUAGAACUAUGUAGACAACGUAGAAUAUGAGUAGUCACCCAUCAAAUUAGGCUUGACUAUCUUGCAGGGGUUACUCGUCAGUUCAGGCUUACACUCUCAGUUCUUUGGACAUUAUAUCAGUUUAGUGAAUCCAGACAGCCAUUAUUAGUACCCGUGGAACUGUAUUAACACCCUUCCAGCUAGGGUUAUAGGUUGGACCCCGAUUAGCUCAAAUUAGGGAAUGUCGAUUAGAUGAUACCUCCCACAGUCUCAGAUAUAGUCUUAGUUACAAUCCCAACUUAGUUAUUCAGUCUUAGUAUUGUUUGAUCAAAGCAUACAGAUUUCAGUUAUCUCUGUAUAUAAGUUUAUAGAUUUUACUUAGUUUAUGUUAUAUGCUUGGUCAUGCAUCCAUAGUAUUUACAGAUUUUCUUACAUGUUCAGUAUCUAUAGAUUCCACGCUCUUUAUUCAGUACUCCAUGCUUUAUAUGUAUAUCCAAUUAAUUAUUAUCAUUUCUAUUUAUGAGACCAUGCAUAUCAUCGUACCUUAUUUAGUAUACUAGUACAUUCAAAGUACUGAUCGCAUACCUUUUCUUUUGCGCUAUGCUAUCUCAUAUCAUAGGUGUUGAUGCUCAGUUCCCGUAUUGUAUCUAGAUUCUCAGAUUUAUCAGCAAUAUAGUACCAGUGGUGAGUCCUCAUCAUCCAAGGAUAGAUUAUAUUACUUCAUGUCUUUAUCUCAGUAGUUAUUAGAGUUAGUUGGGGCCUGUCCCAUCAACUCAAAGUAUCCAGUUUAGAGGCUUUUUUGACACUACAGUUAGCUAUUUAGACUAUUCAAAUUUCACUAUUUUUAUCAGUCUCAUAACUCAGUAUUUAUUUCAUUAUUAAGACUUUGUGGCAUUUAGUUACUCUUCAGUAUUUAUCAUUAUAUUAUUUAGUGCUCAUAGCAGGUACCAACUCAUGGUUUGGCUUGUGGCCUCUCAGGACCAUAAGCACCGUGUAACGACUAGGGGGUUGUCUUAGAUCAUUACAAACUUGGUAUCAAAGUCUAAUGUUUUAAAGUGUCCUAGGAUGUCUGAAAGCCACGUUGAGUAGAGUCUUAUGCAUGGGUCUGUAGCACACCAUACUUAUGGAUGAGAGGCCACAAGGAAUUUAAGAAAAAGUUUCCCUUUUUCAAGUAUUCAUGUCGUGUGAUUGAGCAUAAGCUUAAGUUAAACUCUCAGUCUAAUCCAUUUUCUCCUUCUAUUUACAGAACCUACCUCCCAAUAAGAAUGGAAGAAGAACAGGAACUCAGCCAUCCCCUCAGCCCAUCCAGGCAGAUCCUCUGUACGAGCAUGUCUCUCACACAGAAUUUAGGGCUGCGUUUACCACUCUAGCGAAUUUUGUAGCAGCACAGAAUAAACGGCCAAUUGCUGUUCCAACCAACCCAGUGACCAAUACUAUUAUAACUAGAAUUCAGGAUUUCACCCAGACAAAUCCUUUUUCUUUCACUGGAUCCAAGUCCGAAGAGGAUCCACAAGAAUUCUUACAUAUGGUUUAGAAGGUCACAGAUGCUAUGGGGGUAACGUCUAGUCAGAACUUCGAGUUGGAUGCAUAUUAAUUGCAGGAUGUAUCCCAUACUUGGUUUAAGAAGUGGAAAGUUGAUAGAGGUUUUGAUACAGGGAUAAUAUAAUGGGAAGAGUUUGCCAUGACUUUCUUGGAUAUAUUCUUUUCGUUAGAGUUAAAGGAGGCCAAAGUGUUAGAAUUUAUUUAUUUGUGGCAAGGCAACAUGAGUGUGAGGGAGUAUUCUAUCAAGUUCUCUAGUUAGCUAGAUAUGCUCCUCAUGUGGUGGAUGACGGUAGGUCCAAGAUGAGUAAGUUUAUGUCUGGCAUGUCUGAUAGUGUUGUCAAAGCGUGUAGGACCAUAGUGCUGAUUAGUGAGAUAGAUUUAUCUAGGUUGAUCGUCCAUGUUCAACAGAUAUAGGAGCUAAAUUAAGGAGAGGGAGAGAGAAAACAAGAUAGCUAGGACAGGUAGGUUUAAUUUUAAUUAGCCAAAGUCAGAAGGUGGUAACUGUCCUUAGUUUUAUUAGAGGUCUUCAGCCCCAGUACCUUCUUUAGCCAGUUCCCCAGUACCCAAAUUCAGAAACAACAAUAGGGAUAGGGUACUAGGCUCUAAGUUCCAGGUCAGUGUUAAUAGUGCUCAUAUCAAUCCUUUAUGUCAGAAGUAUGACAGACUCCAUCAGGGUAAGUGUAGAGCAGGUAGUGAUGUGUGCUUCAGGUGUGGCAAGCCAGGCCAUUAGAUUUGGGAGUGUCUAGUAGUUACUCAUAAAGGUAUGGAUGCACACCAACAGGGCUAGUCUCAUCAGUCGUCAGUUCCAUUUGGCCGUCCAACUCAGUAGGGUGCCACUUCCAGUGCAACUAACGGUCAGCGUUCAAAUAGAUUAUAUGCUCUUUAGUCCUUCUAAGAUCAGGAAAAUUCUCCUGACGUAGUUACUGGUACAUUGCAGGUCUUUCACUUAAAUGUUUAUUCUUUACUAGACCCUAAAGCUUCUUUUUCCUUUGUAACUGCAUAUAUAGCUGUUAAUUUUAGACUCAAUCCCAAAACUCUAGCUGAGCCCUUUUCAGUGUCUACCCCAAUAGGCAUUUCUAAUGUAGUUAGACAGGUAUAUAGGAACUGUUUGGUCACAAUAUUUUAGAAAGUUACCUCAGUUGAUCUUGUGGAGUUAGAGAUGAUGGAUUUUGAUGUCAUUCUCGGCAUGGAUUGGCCCCACUCAUGCUAUGACUCUGUUAAUUAUAGAGAUAGAUUAGUUAAUUUUUAGUUCCCAAAUGAAUCAGUUCUUCAAUGGAGGGGUAGUACUACAACUCUUAGGGGUCAGUUAAUCUCGUACCUUAGAGCCAGAAAGAUGAUAUCCAAGGGGUGUGUCUACUAUCUUGUAUGAGUCAAAGACUCUAACUCAAAAAAUCCUACUCUUGAGUCAGUUCUAGUAGUAAAUGAAUUCUCAGACGUAUUUCCUGAAGAUCUCCCCGGAGUUUCUCCUGAAAGGGAAAUUGACUUCGAAAUAGAUCUUCUCCGUGAUACUCAUCCUAUAUCUAUUCCACCAAAUAUAAUGGCUCUAACUAAACUGAAAGAAUUGAAAGAACAGUUGAAGGAUAUCUUAGAUAAGGGAUCAUCAGACCCAACAUCUCCCUGUGUGGUGCACUCAGAAUGUUAUUAACUACCGUUAGCUGAACAAGGUCACAAUCAAGAAUAAAUAUCCACUUCCUAGAAUUGAUUAUUUGUUCGACCAAGUUUAAGGUGCUAUUUAGUUUUCCAAGAUAAACCUUAGAUCAGGUUAUCAUCAUCUUAGAAUUAGAGAAUGUGAUAUCUCAAAAACAUCUUUCUGAACUCGGUAUGGUCACUUCGAAUUUCUAGUCAUGUUCAUUAGUCUUACCAAUGCCCAAGGAGCCUUCAUGGACUUGAUGAACCGAGUUUUCAAUUUGUACUUGGACAUGUUCGUCAUAGUCUUCAUUGAUGACAUUCUUGUAUAUCCGCGUAGUGACAAAUAAUCAUGCAGACCAUCUCUGUAACAGCCCAAUUCCUGCGAACCAAAUGCCACACGGUGCUUAUGAUCCCAAAGGACCAUAAGCUAACCCUUUUUCUGAUAUCUGUACCUGUUCACUGCAUAAAUUAAUAAAAUACAUGCAAAAACUGGCUAACACUUUCCAUAAGGUUCAAACAUCUAGAAGUAUACAAUACCUUAAACCACACACUAAUACAUCUUUCUGAAAAGCCUCUACACUGCCUGAACUGUGGAUUUGAAGGGACAAUUCCCCCAACUAACUCCGUCUACUAAAAUCAAAUACUGUAAUAACAACAUCCUUUGAAGAUGAGGACUCACUGUUGCACCCACUACUUCUAUACAAGUGACUUCUAAGAUGCUCCAUGUUUCACUCCUCUAAAACUAUGGUGCCCCAAAAUAAAAGAACACCAUAGCGCCAAUGUGUCAGUACUAAGAUGUACUGACUAUGAAAGUAGGGAAGGCUAAAUGCAAGGGCUUAUGCAUGAAAAUUUAAUCAACAGAAUAAUUAUGAAAAUAACGAACAAGUACACAUAUAUGAAUGCAUAGUUCACAACCACUAUAACAAUUAUAACGACUCCAGAUACUACAGCUCGGAUAUGACUUUACUGUCCUCCGUACUCACUACUGUACUGGGGUACUGCAUUACUGAAUCACAGGAUACCAACACUGAUCAAUCGAAUACACUCACACCCCUGACUCUUAAAGAUUUAUACUGACACAGAAACCGUGCGAAGUAGUUACAUAACUCACCAUGACUCCUCAUAAGAAACUGAAUAUGUGGGGGUGCACGCAAUAAUUUGAAUAAUAUCUUUGAUUUUGUAAAACAUGCGUACGGAAAAUGAAGACUCACAUGGCUUGAAUUUAAUUAUCCAUACUUCUCAUAAUAUUAUAGAGAGGAGAACAUGAGUAAAAUCCCAUAAAUCAUCAUAAAAUCAUCAAUAUUCAUCAUAAAUUCUCAUGACUCAUCAUAGACAACCAAACUCAUCAACUCAACACUCGGAGCGACUCGCUAGUUCAAGAAACAUACUCUUAUGUACAGGGGAGUUUCCUAUAACCAAUAACCCCACGUGAGCUACAUGGAAUAACAAUAUUUGAAACCCCCAUUGGCGGGAGCAUCAUACUCUUUGCCAGGGAGUACGACCUUAAAACUGUAAUAAUCACAAUCGGGCUCUCUGGCCAAUAAUAUAAUCAUCAAACAACCCUACGGUGGCACAUAGGUUUGGGGAAAUACCAAGUUUUCCUCUCAGUGCUAAGUACUACUCCUCGACAAGCUCAGAACAUGGUAGGGAUUCCACUUAAAAACAUCUCAAGGGUCAACAAUGAUGACCAAAAUCAUGUAUCUUUGUCAAAUUUUUAAAUAAUCAUUUGUGGAUCCCUAACUCGCUCAAAUCAAGAAUAUUUUCCAACAUCGAAACGUAUCACCUUUUUAAACCACCAAAACAUCAAUAACACCAAAACAAUGCCAAAGCUCAUCAUAGCCCUUCAACUUCAACAUCAGCACGCCUCAAUUCACAAUCCAACUCACAUUUUAAAGACACUUGAAAUAAUAGUCAAUAGUAGGGAUACAAAUUCUAGAUAACAAUUAUCGAGUCAUAAUAAGGAAGUAAUGGUAUAAUUGUAUAAAUUAAGGUUUAAUAAUUCAAAUCAUCGUAUAUUCAUAACCAAGUAAUUUGGGACACAAUUCCAUUUCAAAAUCAUAUCUGUACCAAUUUACAAAAUUCCAUAUUUCAUGGAUAACAAUAUGAGCUAUAAAAUCAUAUUUUCAAUCCAUUAAAAAACUUGUAAAAUCUUAUAUCAACAUAAGUAAAUAAAAUUCCGAGCAGAAGAUCGAAAGGAUAAUCUUGUUCAAAACCCCACAUACUAAGUUCUCACGGAAUUCAUGUUAAGUUCUCAAAUCAUUAUAAAUUCAUCGAUCGUAGCACGACUAAGAUUAUCGCGAAACUGACUCAGCUCUAGACCAGCAGACUAUUUUGGGUAUACGUACCCCUAGCAAUCAAUAACAUAAGUAAUACGUAGUAUAUAACAACACAUACUCACAUGCCCACAGGUCAUCAUGCACUAUGCAUUCAUUAACACCUCACUCCAAUCAUUUGAAGAUCAUAUUCACAUACAAGUAUUGGGAUCUCAUGCCAUUACAUCGUAGAUCAUUCAACAAGGAUGCAUAUGGUUAAGGAAGAAUACAACAUAGCAUAGUUCAUCCAAUCGGGAUACACACAAAUAACAUAUAUUCAACACAUCAUGGUUCACUUCUUGAGGUUCUUUCCUUUAAGAUCUUGAUAUAUGCAAUUCGUCUCAUAAUUAGACAUUUCACACUUAGAGUGGCCUAAUGGCCUUACCAUUUCCCUUAGGAAUCAUAGUAAACACGUAGCAUGCAAGUAUGGUAUAAACUCAUCACUUCGAUCACAAGGGGUCAUACGAUCCAUUCUUCUUCAACUAGGCAUUUCAAAAAUUACCUUGCACGCACCAUUUAGGCAUAGGUCUGUAUGAACAAUUACAUAUGCUACAACACCAUCUUUUAUCUUAAUUCCACCAACUAAAUCCCUCGUCCGCACUUACAACCAUAUCAUAAGCCUUCCACACAACAUCCCCAAUUUUAGACAAUAACAUGGAGUUCAUAUUGAACGUAUACAUAGAAAGUAGUCUAGUCAUUUAAAACAUAUUAUAUCCUAAGAACGUAAAUUUAUAGCCUCUUAGACAAUUCCACAAACACCUUACAUGCACUUUAGGCAUUGGUGAAUUCGUCAAAUUCUCAUAUUUUCUGCCACCCCAUAUAUCUCAUCCAACACACCUAAUCAUCACAUGCAUAUAUCAACCAGCAUACACUAUCACCACACACACAUAUAUAUAUAUAUAUCAACCAACAUACAUAAUCAUCAUAUAUAUAUAUAUCAAGAACAUACAUAAUCCUCAUAUAUAGCUCUACCAUCAAAUAGCAAUCAACAUAUAUAUAUAUAUAUAUAUAUAUAUAUACACACAUAUCAAGCUCUCNNNNNNNNNNNNNNNNNNNNNNNNNNCCAUAGAUAAACACUUGCAUACCUUAGAUUUCGUGGCCGGAAGAGAUUGACGGAAGGAAUUUUCUAAUCAAAGCCUCCAAUUAAUUUCCCCUAAUUCAAAACCCUAACCCUAACUUGUUAUAUAUAUAUAUAUAUAUAUAUAUACACACGCACACAUAUACAUAUAAGAUAAAUGAGAGGAAAAUAAUUCAAGUUCAUAGUGGAAUAGGGUAUUUAUAGAGGUUUAAAAGAGUGGUGAAAGACCAAAAUGCCCCUAAGAAAUAAAUAAAACCCAAACCUGUCCUUCAGUGAUCUAUCCGAUAGGCUGAAAUAAAUUGGCCAUAACUUUUUACUCCGAUGUCCAAAUUGGAUGAAACCAAUUUUAUUGGAAAGAAGACUCUCAGGGAUUUCCGUUGAUAUAUACCAGCUCACACAGAUCAUUAUGUACAAGGAGUUAUGAUCAUUUGAAGUUGACCAAAAAAAAAUUGUUUGGCUGCAGUAUUUUUUUUCCUGCACAUUUUACUGUUCACAGUUUGAUCGGAAUGGUCGGAGUUUGAUCGAAAUGGUCGUAACUCAUCGCUCGAGUGUUCUUUUGGGUGAUCCAUAUAUCGUUGGAAAGCUUAUUCGAUGCUCUACGAAAUAGUGGGUCAAAAUCCAAGAAAUGACACAUAAAAAAAAUUAUAAAUCAUUCUCGAAGAUAGGAUUCAAUAUAAUUACGCUCAAAAUUUCGACGAAAAAUUUUUUGGGGUAUUACAUCAUCUCCCCCUUGGAAACAUUCAUCCUCGAAUGUGAAGGCUAGAUCAAGAGCACUAAUCAACUGGGUUUAUUCAAGACAACAACACAUCUCAAAACAUAACCACACUAUUGAAGCAACCAAUACUCUGCGUACGUUCACUAGUCAUGCACAUCUAUCGCAGAAAACAUUCAAAAACCCACUCAGGGGUAAAUUUUCACAACACACAUGCAUCUCAAAUGCACAGAAUCAUAACCCAACCAAUCUCUUCAAUACAUGUUCAAACAUGCCCACAAUUCGAGUUCUUUUCUAUUAAACGUGCAUAUUAAAUACGAAUAUACCUAAUGUACCAAAUUCUCGAAAGCAUAAAUAGAAAUGCAACAAACGAUGAGUUUAACAUCAUAGAAAGAGCAUGGACAUGCAAUUAUUAUAACAUUAUGGGGUAUAUCCCCCUUGAUACCCAAGGUCCCUCUAGACAUAUUUCACUGAAAUAAGAAUAGGUCGGGAACUGUCUCCCUUUACUGCUUUUCCAUACCUAUUGGCACCACUACUAGAUUCUGAGGGCCUGAAUUAUCACUUUCUCUAUCAUUCUCCUCUCAGCUUUAAGUCAUCGUCAGACACUUUUGAACACUUGGCUAAACCCCAAAAUAAACUACAACCAAUGUACUCUAGAGUCCGAGGCACAACGGUUCACAAAAUGAUAACUUAAUUCAUCCAGAAAGACUACACCUGAAAACAUAAAUUCAAUACCAAUGCUACUUCUUGGAAUACAACUCUUAUCUUUCCUUAGUCUCUACAAUCAUCAUCAUAUACAUACACUCUUUUCAAUACCUACUUGUCUCACUAAACAUAUUAUCUGCUUUGAUUUCUUCAUAGGCUACUAAUACCACACUCACAUCUUAAUACUUAGUUUGGAGUCCACAAACUUACAUCCUUCAAAGAUUCAAGAUUAGCUUCUAAAACAUAACAUAAAUAUCCACAAAUCUUUAAUAAACAUACUAUUCUUAUUCUAGCCUUCAAAUAUCACAUCUCUUAAACUUAUACUUCUCCACACCAUGAGAAUCGCAGCUAUAUCUCUAUCAAUGAGUACAUAUAAUUCCCAACUUCCACACUUAGAUUCUUAUAUAUAUAAUUUCAAGCCUAUUCAUUCACCAUAUAAACAGCUAACCCCAUAAGGCAUACUCUGCUCACUUUAGAGAACACUGUCCCAAAACUAUCUACGGGGACCGUCAGAGAAAGUUCUAUCUAAAGGACUUUCGCUUCACUACUUCUGUUACCUUAAGAGUAAGGUAAAUAUGACAUAAGUAGAUCAUUAUAAGAGUCUACAUAACUCUCUCAGAAAAUCUUGCUAUAGCACGAUCCGGAUCAUGAACGAAUGGAAACUCUUCUAAACAUCCCAUAGCCUCCCGUACAUGAAUGUGGCUCGCAACACACUCUUAUACAAGACGCUACUAGAUGUGGCUUUUCAGACUCCCAAGGACACUGUUGAACCUUAGGCUCUGAUACCAAUUUUGUAACUCCCCGAUUCCCGAGAACCGAAAUGUCACACGGUGCUUAUGAUCCCAAAGGACCACAAGCUAAUCCUUUUUCUGAUAUCUGUACCUGUUCACUGCAUAAUAUAAUAAAAUACAUGCGAAAACUGGCUAACACUUGCCAUAAGGUUCAAAUACCUAGAAAUAUACAAUACCUUAAACCACACACUAAUACAUCUGUCUGAAAAGCCUCUACACUGCCUAAACUGUGGAGUUGAAGGGACAAGUCCCCUAACUAACUCCGUCUACUAAAAUAAAAUACUAUAAUAACAACAUCCUCAAAUGAUGAGGACUCACUGCUGCACCCACUGCUGCUAUACAAGUGACUUCUAAGAUGCUCCAAGUUUCACUCCUCUGAACCUAUGGUGCCCCAAAAUAAAAGAAAACCAUAGCGCGAAUGCGUCAGUACUAAGAUGUACUGAGUAUGCAAGCAGGGAAGGCUAAAUGCAAGGGCUUAUGCAUGAAUAUUUAAUAAACAGAAUAAUCAUGAGAAUACCGAACGAGUACACAUAUAUGAAUGCACAGUUCACAACCACUAUAACAAUUAUAACGACUCCAGAUACCAUAGCUCGGAUACGACUUUACUGUCCUUGGAACUCACUACUAUACUGGGGUACUGCAUUACUGAAUCAUAGGAUACCAACACUAAUCAAUCGAAUACUCUCACACCCUUGACUCCUAAAGAUUUAUACUGACACAGAAAUCGUGGGAAGUAGUUACAUAACUCACCAUGACUCCUCAUAAGCAACUGACUAUGUAGGGGUGCACACAAUAAUUUGAAUAAUAUCUUUGAUUUCGUAAAACAUGCAUACAGAAAAUGAAGACUCAUAUGGCUUGAAUUUUAUUAUCCAUACUUCUCAUAAUAUUAUAGAGAGGAAAACAUAAGUAAAAUACAAUAAAUCAUCAUAAAAUCAUCAAUAUUCAUCAUAAAUUCUCAUAACUCAUCAUAGACAACCAAACUCAUCAACUCAAGACUCAGAGCGACUCGCUAGUUCAAGAAACAUAUUCUUAUGGACAGGGGAGUUUCCUAUAACCGACAACCCCAGAUGAGCUACAUAGAAUACCAACAUUUGAAACCCCCGUUGGCGGGAGCGUCAUACUCUUUGCCAGGGAGUACGACCUUAAAACUACAAUAAUCACAAAUGGGCCCUCUGGCCAAAAAUAUCAUCAUCAAACAACCCUACGAUGGCACACAAGUUUGGGGAAAUACCAAAUUUCCCUCUCGGUGCUAAGUACUACUCCCCAACAAGCUCAAACGCGUUAGGGAUUCCACUUCAAAACAUCUCAAGGGUCAACAAUGAUGACCAAAAUCAUGUAUCGCUGUCAAAUUAUUAAAUAAUCAUUUGUGGAUCCCUAACUCGACUCAAAUCAAGAAUAUUUUCCAACAUCGAAACGUAUCACCUUUUUAAACCACCACAACAUCAAUAACACCAAAACAGUGCCAAGGCUCAUCAUAGCCCUUCAACUUUAACAUUAACAUGCCUCAAUUCACAAUCCAACUCACAUUUUAAAAAUACUUGAAACAAUAAUUAAUAGUAGGGAUUCAUAAUUCUCGAUAAUAAUUAUCAAGUCAUAAUAAAGAAGUAAUGGUAUAAUUGUAUAAAUCAAGGUUUAAUAAUUCAAAUCAUCGUAUAUUCAUAACCAAGUAAUUUUGAACACAAUUCCAUUUCAAAAUCAUAUAUGUACCAAUUUACAAAAUUCCAUAUUUCUUGGAUAACAAUAUAAGCUAUAAAAUCAUAUUUCCAAUCCAUGGAAAAACUUGUAAAAUCUUAUGUCAACAAAAGUAAAUAAAAUUCCGGGCACAAGAUCGAAAGGAUAAUCUUGUUCAAAACCCUACAUACUAAGUUCUCACAAAAUUUAUGUUAAGUUCUCAAAUCAUCGGAAAUUUAUCGAUUGAAGCACGACUAAGAUUAUCGCGGAACUAACUCAGCUCUAGACCAGCAGACUAUUUCGGGCAUACAUACCCCUAGCAAUCAAUAACAUAAGUAAUAUAUAGUAUACAACAACGCAUACUCAUAUGCCCACAGGCCAUCAUGAACUAUGCAUUCAUUAACCCCUCAGACCAAUCAUUUGAAGAUCAUAUUCAUAUAUAAGUAUUGGGAUCUCAUGCCAUUACAUCAUAGAUCAUUCAAUAAGGAUGCAUAUGGUUAAGGAAGAAUACAAAAUAACGUAGUUUAUCCAAUUGGGAUACACACAAAUAACAUACAUUCAACACAUCAUGGUUCACUUCUUGAGGUUCUUUCCUUUAAGAUCUUGAUAUAUGCAAUUCGACCCAUAAUUAGACAUUUCACACUUAGCGUGGCCUAAUGGCCUUACCAUUUCUCUUAAGAAUCAUAGUAAACACGUAGCAUGCAAGUAUGGUAUGAACUCAUCACUUCGAUCACAAGGGUUCAUACGAUCCAUUCUUCUUUAACUAGUCAUUUCUACAAUUACCUUGCACGCACCAUUUAGGCAUAGGUCAGUAUGAAUAAUUACAUGUGCUACAACACCAUCAUUCUUCUUAAUUCCACCAACUAAAUCCCUCGUUCGCACUUACAACCAUAUCAUAAGCAUUUUACACAACAUCCCAAUUUUAGACAAUAACAUGGAGUUCAUGUUGAAUGUAUACAUAGAANNNNNNNNNNNNNNNNNNNNNNNNNNNNNNNNNNNNNNNNNNNNNNNNNNNNNNNNNNNNNUGUGUGUUGGUUGAAGUAUAUGUGUGUAGUAUUUGUGUGAUGGUUGGUGAUUAUGUUGUUGAAGUUGAUGAUAUCCAAGAAGGGAUCUUUGUAUGUUUGUGGAAACUAUGGUGGUGUGUGAUGUAUAAAUAUAUGAAAUGGGUGAUUGAAUACUUGUAAUCCCGAUGAACCCACCUAUGCCUAAGAUAUAUGUGUGGAAGGAGCCCGUAGAUAAACACUUACAUACCUUAGAUUUCGUGGCUGGAAGAGAUUGACCAAAGGAAUUCUUGAAUCAAAGCCUCCAAUUAAUUUCCCCCAAUUCAAAACCCUAACCCUAACUUGAUAUAUAUAUAUAUAUACAUAUAAGUGAAAUAAGAGGAAAAUAAUACAAGUUCUCAGCUGAAUGGGGUAUUUAUAGAGGUUUAAAAGAGUGGUGAAAGACCAAAAUUACCCUAAGAAACAAAUAAAACCUGAAUCUCUCCUUUACUGAUCUAUUCGAUAGGCUGAAGUAAAUUGCCCAUAACUUUUUACUCCGAUGUCCAAAUUGGAUUAAAUAAAUUUUAUUGGAAAGACGACUCUCAGGGCUUUAUGUUGAUAUAUAGUAGCUCAUAUAUUUCAUUAUGUACAAGGAUUUAUUAUCAUUUGAAGUUGAUCAAAAGAAAUCGCCUGGCUGCAGUAUUUUUUUUCCGGCUCAUUUUACUGUUUACAAUUGGAUCGGAAUGAUCAUAGUUUGAUCGGAAUGGUCGUAACUCAUCACUCGAGUGUCCAUUUUAGGUGAUCCACAUAUCGUUGGAAAUAUUAUUCGAUGCUAUACGAAAUGGUGGGUUGAAAUCCAAGAAAUGACACACAAAAAAAAUUAUAAAUCAUUCUCGAAGAUAGGAUCUAAUACGUUUACGCACAAUAUUUCGACAAAACUUUUUUUAGGGUAUUACAAUAUCAGAAUAGUGUUGGAAACUCUUAGAGCCCAUCAGUUGUUCACUAAAUUCAAUAAGUGUGAAUUUUAGCUAAGAUCACUAGCUUUCCUUGGCCAUAUUAUUUCUGGUGAUGGCAUUAGAGUCGAUCCUCAAAAGAUUGAGGUAGUGAGAAACUAUCCUAGACCCAUAUCUCUAUCAGAUAUCAGGAGUUUCUUGUGUUUAGCUGGAUAUUACCAUGGGUUUGUUAAAGGGUUUUCGUAUAUAGCAUCCCCCAUGUCUAGAUUGACUCAAAAUAAAGUUAAGUUUUAGUGGUCAGAUUCAUGAAAGAAGAGUUUUCAAGAGUUGACCACAGCGCCAGUUCUUACUCUACUAGAUGGUUCAGAUAGUUUGUUUCGUACUGUGAUACAUCCAAAGUAGGUUUGGGUUAUGUCCUCAUACAGAGAGGUAAGUUCAUAUCUUAUGCCUCCAGACAACUCAAGCCUCUUGAGAAGAAUUAUCCCACUCAUGAUCUUGAGCUAGCAGCAGAAGUAUUCGCCUUAAAGAUUUGGAGACAUUACUUGUAUGAGGUGCAUAUAGAUGUGUUCGUAGAUCAUAAAAGCCUUUCAGUAUGUGUUCUCUCAUAAAGAUUUGAAUUUGCAUUAGAGAAGGUGGUUAGAUUUAUUAAAAAAUUAUGACAUGAGUAUUCUGUAUCACCCGAGUAAGGCCAAUAUAGUGCCCGAUGCUCUCAGUAGAAUGUUUAUGGGUAGUGUAGUUUCUGUUGAGGAUGGUAAGAAGAAGUUAGCUCAGAAAGUUCAUCGGCUUGCCCGACUAGGUGUUCGUUUACUCAAUUCAGCAGAAGGUAGUAUAUGGGUACAGAGUAGCCCAGAGUCAUCUCUAGUUUCUGAGGUGAAGGUAAAGUAGGAUAGAGGUCCCAGUCUAGUCAAGUUGAAAGAAUCAGUCAGAGAUCAGAAAGUAAAGGUUUUCUCCCAAGGGGAGAUAGUGUUUUAUGUGUUUUUGGGUAGGUUAUUUGUGCCUGACGUAGAUGAGUUGAGGCAAUGAAUUCUUACAGAAGUGCAUAGUGCGCGUUGCUUUAUUCAUCUAGGGGCCAAUCAGAUGUACCACGAUUUACGGAGAUCUAUUAGUGGAGUAGAGUGAAUAAAGAUAUUGUAAAGUUUGUAGCUAAGUGCUCUACAUGCCAGUAAGUUAAGAUUGAGCACCAGAAGCCUAGUGGGUCCAUGCAGGAGUUCAGUAAUUCUAUGUGGAAAUAGGAGAAAGUACCCGUCAUCUGUAUAAGUCUAUUUGGGUUAUCAUAGAUAGAAUGACCAAAUCAGCUCAUUUGUUGCCAGUCCAUACCUCUUACUUAUCCGAGCACUAUGCCAAUCUCUAUCUCAGCGAGUUGAUUAGGUUUCACAAUGUUCCCUUAUCUAUCACCUCAAAUAGAGGUACUCAGUUUACCUCUCACUUCUAGAAAGCAUUCCAAAAGGGUUUUGGUUUCUAAGUCCACCUCAGUACAACCUUUCACCCUCAGACAGAUGGUCAACUAGAACUAACCAUUCAGACUCUUAAGGAUAUACUGAGAGCAUGCAUUGUUGAUUUCAAUGGUAGUUGGGAUGACCAUUUUUCUUUGAUUGAAUUUACAUAUAAUAAUAGCUAUUAUUCCAGUAUUCAUAUGGCCUCAUUUGAGGCUCUCUAUGGUAGGAGAUGUAGAUCUUAAAUUGGUUGGUUUAAACUAGGUGAGGCUGUAGCAGUAGGGCCUGAUUUGGUGUUUGAUACGUUAGAGAAGGUUUAUUUGAUCAGAGAAAGUCUUAGGGCUGCCUAGAGCCGACAGAAAUCAUAUAAAGAUGUGAGGAGAAAGGAUCUCGAGUUUGAGUUCAGUGAUCUUAUGUUCUUAAAAAUAUCUCCCAUGAAGGGAUUGAAGAGAUUCGGCAAGAAAGGAAAACUCAGUCCCUGAUAUGUCAGUCUAUAUAGAAUCCUCAAACCUUUCAAAAAGGUAGCUAACGAGAUAGAGUUGCUUUCAGAUUUAUCCUUGGUACAUGUAGUGUUCCAUGUCUCAUUGUUGAAAAAGUGUAUUGGUGAUC